This 433-nucleotide ribosomal RNA is filed under the name uncultured bacterium. RNAcentral describes it as "partial 16S ribosomal RNA". It matches the Rfam family "Bacterial small subunit ribosomal RNA", at positions 29 to 507 of the family's 1533-position model. The record is from RNAcentral.
AACGAACGCUGGCGGCAUGCCUAACACAUGCAAGUCGAACGAGACCUUCGGGUCUAGUGGCGCACGGGUGCGUAACGCGUGGGAACCUGCCCUUAGGUUCGGAAUAACUCCCCGAAAGGGGUGCUAAUACCGGAUAAUGUCUUCGGACCAAAGAUUUAUCGCCUUUGGAUGGGCCCGCGUUGGAUUAGCUAGUUGGUAGGGUAAAAGCCCACCAAGGCGACGAUCCAUAGCUGGUCUGAGAGGAUGAUCAGCCACACUGGGACUGAGACACGGCCCAGACUCCUACGGGAGGCAGCAGUGGGGAAUAUUGGACAAUGGGCGAAAGCCUGAUCCGGCAAUGCCGCGUGAGUGAUGAAGGCCUUAGGGUUGUAAAGCUCUUUUACCCGGGAUGAUAAUGACAGUACCGGGAGAAUAAGCUCCGGCUAACUCCGUG